CCUACGGGCGGCAGCAGUGGGGAAUAUUGGACAAUGGGGGCAACCCUGAUCCAGCCAUGCCGCGUGUGUGAAGAAGGCCCUCGGGUUGUAAAGCACUUUCAGUGAGGAAGAACGCCUGGUGGUUAAUACCCAUCAGGAAAGACAUCACUCACAGAAGAAGCACCGGCUAACUCCGUGCCAGCAGCCGCGGUAAUACGGAGGGUGCGAGCGUUAAUCGGAAUUACUGGGCGUAAAGCGCGCGUAGGUGGCUUGAUAAGCCGGUUGUGAAAGCCCCGGGCUCAACCUGGAAACGGCAUCCGGAACUGUCAAGCUAGAGUGCAGGAGAGGAAGGUAGAAUUCCCGGUGUAGCGGUGAAAUGCGUAGAGAUCGGGAGGAAUACCAGUGGCGAAGGCGGCCUUCUGGACUGACACUGACACUGAGGUGCGAAAGCGUGGGUAGCAAACAGGAUUAGAUACCCCUGUAGUC
Molecule: ribosomal RNA, 465 nt
Filed under: Vreelandella stevensii
Lineage: Bacteria; Pseudomonadati; Pseudomonadota; Gammaproteobacteria; Oceanospirillales; Halomonadaceae
Description: partial 16S ribosomal RNA
Rfam family: Bacterial small subunit ribosomal RNA
Source: RNAcentral